UACGGAGGAUGCAAGCGUUAUCCGGAAUGAUUGGGCGUAAAGCGUCCGCAGGUGGCGAUGUAAGUCUGCUGUUAAAGAGUGAGGCUCAACCUCAUAAGAGCAGUGGAAACUACAUAGCUAGAGUACGUUCGGGGCAGAGGGAAUUCCUGGUGUAGCGGUGAAAUGCGUAGAGAUCAGGAAGAACACCAGUGGCGAAGGCGCUCUGCUAGGCCGUAACUGACACUGAGGGACGAAAGCUAGGGGAGCGAAUGGGAUUAGAUACCCCAGUAGUCCUAGCCGUAAACGAUGGAUACUAGGCGUGGCUUGUAUCGACCCGAGCCGUGCCGUAGCUAACGCGUUAAGUAUCCCGCCUGGGGAGU
This 359-nucleotide ribosomal RNA is filed under the name uncultured Nostoc sp. Its description in RNAcentral is "bacterial SSU rRNA". It matches the Rfam family "Bacterial small subunit ribosomal RNA", at positions 524 to 881 of the family's 1533-position model. RNAcentral also lists the same sequence under 1 other name. Lineage: Bacteria; Bacillati; Cyanobacteriota; Cyanophyceae; Nostocales; Nostocaceae. The record is from RNAcentral.